CUUUCGUUUUAUGACUUUUUUUAUCUAUACUUUACUUUGGUUCAUUAAGUGAGUAAUGCUACCUUAUCGCAUGCUUUUAGAAAUUCCCCCUUUUUUUCAAGCACCUAUUAUUUUGGCUAUAUUUUUGUAUUUGUUCGCUGGAAAUUUGUACAUUUUCAAAAUUUAUCAAAUCAACUAUACGACUGCCUUUGGCUUAACUUCUCAUAACACGAUUGGUGCCUUUAAGUUAUUCAACGUCGCUACUAUUUUCUGCGGCUUCUUUUUCCUUUGCUUAUUUUUUUACACUCAAUCUAUUCUUGUGGAUAAAAAAAGUCUUCUAGUCGACUUUUUUCCUUCCGUCUUCUACAUUACCGUGUUAAUUUCCUUCAUACUUCCAACGAAUUUUUUUUACGGGCCCCAGCGGCGCUACUUUUUAGAUUUACUGUGCAAGGUUUUUUUUCCUUUUCGACUUUCCAUAACGUUUCAAGAAGUUUUUUUAGCGGACGGCCUCACUUCUCUCUCUAAAGUUCUGGCCGACUUGGAACUGAUCAUCUGCUCCAUCUUCUC
Molecule: long non-coding RNA, 546 nt
Organism: Zophobas morio
Lineage: Eukaryota; Metazoa; Arthropoda; Insecta; Coleoptera; Tenebrionidae
Exons: 5
Source: RefSeq, a predicted model, not a curated record